RNAcentral lists this non-coding RNA (63 nucleotides) under unclassified sequences. RNAcentral describes it as "RAGATH-18 RNA". It matches the Rfam family "RAGATH-18 RNA". From Rfam's summary of the family: Actinobacteria, Firmicutes, Fusobacteria, Thermotogae (1 example). Nearby to self-cleaving ribozyme genes The record is from Rfam by way of RNAcentral.
CCUAUGGAGAGUACAAGAACUUGUGAGUAGCAUAGUGCAAAAGCAUACUCGAUGAAGUAGGAA